Molecule: ribosomal RNA, 254 nt
Filed under: uncultured bacterium
Lineage: Bacteria
Description: partial 16S ribosomal RNA
Rfam family: Bacterial small subunit ribosomal RNA
Source: RNAcentral
UACGUAGGGGGCUAGCGUUGUCCGGAUUUAUUGGGCGUAAAGAGCUCGUAGGCGGUUUGGUAAGUUGGAUGUGAAAUCUCCAGGCUCAACUUGGAGGGGUCAUUCGAUACUGCCAUGACUAGAGUUCGGUAGGGGAGUGUGGAAUUCCUGGUGGAGCGGUGAAAUGCGUAGAUAUCUGGAGGAACACCGGUGGCGAAGGCGGCGUUCUGGACUGCAACUGACACUGAGGAACGAAAGCCAGGGGAGCAAACGGG